GACGAACGCUGGCGGCGUGGAUUAGGCAUGCAAGUCGAACGGUAGAUAUCCUUCGGGGUAUUGAGAGUGGCGAACGGGUGAGUAACACGUAGGUAAUCUACCCUCAAAUCGGGGACAACCCAGGGAAACUUGGGCUAAUACCGGAUGAGUGCAGCACCUAAAUCAUCCAUACGGAAUCUGGUUAAGAUUGGGUUUUGUAUGGUUGGGUGAUUUAGGUGCUGUAUAAAAGAUGGCUUCGGCUGUCGUUUGAGGAUGAGCCUGCGCUCUAUUAGUUAGUUGGUGAGGUAAUGGCUCACCAAGGCGAUGAUAGAUAGGCGGCCUUAACGGGUGGUCGCCCACACUGGGAUUGAGAUACGGCCCAGACUCCUACGGGAGGCAGCAGUCGAGAAUAGUCUACAAUGGACGAAAGUCUGAUAGUGCGACGCCGCGUGAACGAUGAAUCCCUUCGGGGUGUAAAGCUCUGUCCUAUGGGAAGAUAAUGACGGUACCAUAGGAGGAAGCCCC
Molecule: ribosomal RNA, 504 nt
Filed under: uncultured bacterium
Lineage: Bacteria
Description: bacterial SSU rRNA
Rfam family: Bacterial small subunit ribosomal RNA
Source: RNAcentral